This 305-nucleotide ribosomal RNA is filed under the name uncultured bacterium. Its description in RNAcentral is "bacterial SSU rRNA". It matches the Rfam family "Bacterial small subunit ribosomal RNA", at positions 335 to 638 of the family's 1533-position model. The record is from RNAcentral.
GACCUACGGGAUGCAGCAGUAGGGAAUAUUGCUCAAUGGGGGAAACCCUGAACCAGCCAUGCCGCGUGCAGGAAGACGGCUCUAUGAGUUGUAAACUGCUUUUGUACGAGGGUAAACGCAGAUACGUGUAUCUGUCUGAAGGUAUCGUACGAAUAAGGAUCGGCUAACUCCGUGCCAGCAGCCGCGGUAAUACGGAGGAUUCAAGCGUUAUCCGGAUUUAUUGGGUUUAAAGGGUGCGUAGGCGGUCGGAUAAGUUAGAGGUGAAAUCCCGAGGCUCAACUUCGGAAUUGCCUCUGAUACUGUUC